RNAcentral lists this ribosomal RNA (464 nucleotides) under uncultured bacterium. Its description in RNAcentral is "bacterial SSU rRNA". It matches the Rfam family "Bacterial small subunit ribosomal RNA", at positions 339 to 794 of the family's 1533-position model. The record is from RNAcentral.
GUACGGGAGGCAGCAGUGGGGAAUUUUGCGCAAUGGGGGAAACCCUGACGCAGCAACGCCGCGUGAGUGAUGAAGGCCUUCGGGUCGUAAAGCUCUGUCUAGAGGAAAGAAGUGUGCGGGUGAUAAUACCACUUGCACUUGACGGUACCUCUGAAGGAAGCACCGGCUAACUCCGUGCCAGCAGCCGCGGUAAUACGGAGGGUGCGAGCGUUGUUCGGAUUUAUUGGGCGUAAAGCGCGUGUAGGCGGUUUCUUAAGUCUGAUGUGAAAGCCCCGGGCUCAACCUGGGAAGUGCAUUGGAUACUGGGAGACUUGAAUACGGGAGAGGGUAGUGGAAUUCCUAGUGUAGGAGUGAAAUCCGUAGAUAUUAGGAGGAACACCGGUGGCGAAGGCGGCUACCUGGACCGAUAUUGACGCUGAGACGCGAAAGCGUGGGUAGCAAACAGGAUUAGAUACCCCGGUAGA